GCCCCGAUAGCCCAACCGGUAGAGGCGAUGUUCUCAAACAGCAUUCAGUGUGGGUUCGAAUCCCACUCGGGGCA
RNAcentral lists this transfer RNA (74 nucleotides) under Actinomycetota bacterium. Its description in RNAcentral is "tRNA-Leu". It matches the Rfam family "tRNA". From Rfam's summary of the family: Transfer RNA (tRNA) molecules are approximately 80 nucleotides in length. Their secondary structure includes four short double-helical elements and three loops (D, anti-codon, and T loops). Lineage: Bacteria; Bacillati; Actinomycetota. The record is from RNAcentral.